This 143-nucleotide unclassified non-coding RNA is filed under the name uncultured fungus. Its description in RNAcentral is "sequence contains ITS1". Lineage: Eukaryota; Fungi. The record is from RNAcentral.
CUGAAAAACUAAUAAGUUUUUUAUAUCCCUUUGUUUACCUACUCUGUUGCUUCCAUCAGAGGAAGUUGUUCCUUUGGUGCCAAGAUUCUAUAAAGAAACCUUUUGUGAAUAAAUGUCUGAUAAAAUUCUAAAAAUAGAAAUAA